This 534-nucleotide ribosomal RNA is filed under the name Salmonella enterica. RNAcentral describes it as "bacterial SSU rRNA". It matches the Rfam family "Bacterial small subunit ribosomal RNA", at positions 988 to 1522 of the family's 1533-position model. The record is from RNAcentral. Lineage: Bacteria; Pseudomonadati; Pseudomonadota; Gammaproteobacteria; Enterobacterales; Enterobacteriaceae. RNAcentral also lists the same sequence under 2 other names.
CCACAGAAGAAUCCAGAGAUGGAUUUGUGCCUUCGGGAACUGUGAGACAGGUGCUGCAUGGCUGUCGUCAGCUCGUGUUGUGAAAUGUUGGGUUAAGUCCCGCAACGAGCGCAACCCUUAUCCUUUGUUGCCAGCGGUUAGGCCGGGAACUCAAAGGAGACUGCCAGUGAUAAACUGGAGGAAGGUGGGGAUGACGUCAAGUCAUCAUGGCCCUUACGACCAGGGCUACACACGUGCUACAAUGGCGCAUACAAAGAGAAGCGACCUCGCGAGAGCAAGCGGACCUCAUAAAGUGCGUCGUAGUCCGGAUUGGAGUCUGCAACUCGACUCCAUGAAGUCGGAAUCGCUAGUAAUCGUGGAUCAGAAUGCCACGGUGAAUACGUUCCCGGGCCUUGUACACACCGCCCGUCACACCAUGGGAGUGGGUUGCAAAAGAAGUAGGUAGCUUAACCUUCGGGAGGGCGCUUACCACUUUGUGAUUCAUGACUGGGGUGAAGUCGUAACAAGGUAACCGUAGGGGAACCUGCGGUUGGA